Molecule: microRNA precursor, 77 nt
Filed under: Schistosoma mansoni
Lineage: Eukaryota; Metazoa; Platyhelminthes; Trematoda; Strigeidida; Schistosomatidae
Description: mir-3492 microRNA precursor family
Rfam family: mir-3492 microRNA precursor family
Source: Rfam by way of RNAcentral
AAUCUUCCGUAUCCGUGCUGAGAUUUCGUCACAACCAGACCACAAGGCCUGAUGAGACUCCCAAGAUAAAUGAAGCG